GCAAAUGAAUGGGAAGUUAACCUUGCUGUGUUAUGCUAUGUGCUAGUUGGGCUUUGCUAUAUGGUGCCAUUGUUGAGCUGCUAAAUUGGUUUUAAUUUAGUUCACUUCUUUUAUAUUCCUGUAGAUAUGCAGAAAUGAUAGGACUUUGUUGUUUGAUGAAGAUCGAAUUUUUGCUUUUUUCCUAGAUUACUUAAAUUAGUACUCUACUAGUCUUUGAUUUGCUUCUUGAUCCUCACUAAAUUUUAGUUAUUUUGGCUCAAUUUGUUAGACGUUGUUGUGGUGUCCUUUGUCUUUCCAGGCUUGUCAAAAUACUUUCAAGCAAGUUCAGUCCAAGUCAAAAUGAAAUAAUGGCUGGUGUAGACUCCAUUAUUACAUUGAGCCAUGUUUAUUAAUUAGGCUUGAAUACUUCAACAUUAUUUGAGUUGCACAAUCAGUUUGAAUAUCACUAGUUUUUCAUGUUCCUCUCAAAAAAAAUCCAAAUCUUGGCUCCUUUUUUCUUUACAUCCAUGGUACUUGCAACAUGCAAUAUUCUUUGUAGGCUGUCUGAUAACAUGGGAAGUGUAUAGUUUCUGUCACCAUUAACAUGAUGAAAUCGAACUAACCCUUGUUUUGUCGUUUUAAUAAACUUAAAGAGAAUGUCACAAUUUUCAUUCUAAUGUUAUAUGCUGUAAACAACUAAAAAAGUUGGAUUUUUAGCUUUGCCUUCUGGAACUUCUUUAAGAAAAGCACAAGAAACUGUGAUUAAUUUGUGUUGGGUUAAAGAUCUGAAGCUUUGAGUUCCAUCUAGGAAAUCAAUGGGAGUUUCUUUUUGAAUUUUGUGCUCUUAACUUGACCAAUGAAUUUAA
RNAcentral lists this unclassified non-coding RNA (845 nucleotides) under Hevea brasiliensis (rubber tree). The record is from RNAcentral. Lineage: Eukaryota; Viridiplantae; Streptophyta; Magnoliopsida; Malpighiales; Euphorbiaceae.